Molecule: ribosomal RNA, 406 nt
Filed under: uncultured bacterium
Lineage: Bacteria
Description: partial 16S ribosomal RNA
Rfam family: Bacterial small subunit ribosomal RNA
Source: RNAcentral
AUUGAACGCUGGCGGCAGGCCUAACACAUGCAAGUCGAACGAGUGGCGGACGGGUGAGUAAUGUCUGGGAAACUGCCUGAUGGAGGGGGAUCACUACUGGAAACGGUAGCUAAUACCGCAUACCAUCAGAUGUGCCCAGUAGGGAUUAGCUAGUAGGUGGGGUAACGGCUCACAUAGGCGACGAUCCCUAGCUGGUCUGAGAGGACUACCAGCGAGACUGGUAGCGAGACACGGUCGAGACGCCUACGUGAGGAAGCAGUGGGGAAUAUUACACAAUGGGCGAAAGCCUGAUGCAGCCAUGCCGAGUGUGUGAAGAAGGCCUUCGGGUUGGAAAGCACUUUCAGCGGGGAGGCGUUACCCGCAGGAGAAGCACCGGCUAACUCCGUGCCAGCAGCCGCAGUAAUAC